This 10288-nucleotide long non-coding RNA is filed under the name Solanum tuberosum (potato). RNAcentral's name for it is "long non-coding RNA (STUB_LNC002958)". Lineage: Eukaryota; Viridiplantae; Streptophyta; Magnoliopsida; Solanales; Solanaceae. The record is from RNAcentral.
CAGCUUGUCUAACUCUGCUGUUUCUCUAGAAAAGAAACAACUGAAAUGAACUUAUACAAUAUUUCUGCUCCAUAUGGCAGUUCUAGAAAAAAUAAUAGUAAUAAUAAAAACAGUUGACAUGAUGUAAUGUGAAUGCACUCAAUUUUCAAACAAUAUGAUCAGUUUUUGUAGGAAUUUCUGACAAAUUCAUAGAAUACAAGUCAUUGUACUUAGUUUUGAUGACUAGUUGACUUCUUCAACAGAAAACAGUAAGCAAAUAUCAUUAAUAAUUGUAUAAACUAUUCAUUUUCAGCUUAAGUUUGUAAAGAGAGUGAAGCUUCUUUCUUUUGAACCAAUGAUGUCAAAGACCACUGUAUAUGCAUUAGCCAUUUUUUUUAGUUCCUUUUUCAUAGCUUUGUCCUUUGGGGAAACUCCAAGCUUGGAAGUUGAAGUUGCUGCUUUGAAAGCUUUCAAGAACUCAAUCACUGAUGACCCUUUUGGUGCACUUGUGGAUUGGACUGAUGCAAAUCACAUUUGCAACUGGUCUGGAAUCAUAUGUGAUCCUUCUUCAAACCAUGUCAUCAACAUUUCGCUUAUUGGGAUGCAGCUCAAAGGCGAGAUUUCUCCGUUUCUAGGAGACCUCUCCAAACUCCAGGUUCUUGAUCUAACUUUGAAUUCAUUUACUGGAAAUAUCCCAGCCAAGCUGGGGCAUUGCACUGAGCUGGUUCAGCUCAUUCUUUACCGAAACUUUCUUUCUGGUGAAAUUCCUACCGAGCUAGGAAACCUCAAAAACCUGCAAUUAUUAAAUUUUGGAAAUAACUCUUUGAGUGGGAGAAUACCUGAGAGUAUAUGCAACUGCACUGAAUUGUUGUUAGUAAGCCUCAUCAACAACAGCCUCACAGGCAAAUUACCAUCUGAAAUUGGUAAUUUGGUCAAUCUUCAAUUGUUUGAAGCUUAUAGAAACAAUUUGGUUGGUUCUAUUCCUACCUCCAUUGGAAUGCUGACAGCUCUGCAAACCCUUGAUCUGAGCUCAAACCAGUUUUCUGGACCUAUACCACCAGAAAUUGGCAACUUGUCAAGUUUAGAAACUCUUCAGUUGCAUCACAACUUUCUUUCUGGGAAAAUCCCAUCUGAACUUGGCCUCUGUAUCAAUCUUGUUACCUUGGACAUGUAUAAUAACCAAUUCACUGGAGGCGUACCUCCUGAGCUAGGAAAUUUAGAAAAUUUGCACAGGCUCAGAUUGUAUAACAAUAAGUUGAACUCCAGUAUACCUGCCUCAUUGUUCCACCUGAAGUCAUUAACUCAUUUAGGACUCUCACAUAAUGAGCAAACUGGUAAAAUUCCUCCUGAGUUUGGAUCUUUAAUGUCACUACAAGUGCUUACCCUCCACUCAAAUAGGUUGUAUGGGGAGAUUCCAUCAACUUUGACAAACCUGGCAAACUUGACAUAUUUGUCUUUGAGCUUUAAUUUAUUGACAGGAUCACUUCCACCGGAACUUGGGUUACUCUAUAAUCUGAAGAAUCUAACUGCAAGUAAUAACCUCCUAGAGGGACCUAUUCCAUCUAGCAUAACAAAUUGUUCUCAUCUUCGUGUUUUAACCCUCACCUUUAAUAGAAUAACAGGUAAAAUACCAAAUGGGUUGGGGAAGUUGUCCAAUCUUACAUUUUUGUCUUUGGGAUCAAACAAAAUGUUGGGGGAGAUUCCUGAUGAUAUCUUCAACUGUUCAAUGCUUGAAGUUCUAGAUCUGAGUGGUAAUAAUUUUAGCGGGAAGCUCAAACCGAUGAUUGGCAGACUCUCUAAACUUCGAGUUCUAAGAGCUCAUAGUAAUUCAUUUCUUGGGCCAAUCCCACCAGAGAUUGGUAAACUGAGUCAACUGAUAGAUUUAGUGCUUCACAAAAACAGUUUCUCAGGUGUGAUACCACCAGAACUUUCAAAGCUUUCAAACCUCCAGGGCCUUUCUCUGUCAGACAAUAAGCUGGAAGGUGAACUUCCUGUGCAACUUUUUGAGCUUACACGCCUCUAUGAACUCCUGCUGCAGAACAAUAAUUUCUUCGGUCCAAUCCCCAAUCAGAUAUCCAAAUUAGAAUCACUUUCACUCCUGGACCUGAGUGGAAAUAAGCUUAACGGUACAAUCCCAGAGAGCAUGGUGAGCCUCCGCAGACUGACGACCUUAGAUGUUUCACACAACCUUCUAACCGGAACUCUUUCCAGAGCAGUACUUGCCAGCAUGAGAAGUAUGCAAUUUUACUUGAACGUUUCCAGCAACUUGUUGGAUGGAGAGAUCCCAUAUGAGAUUGGCAUGUUAGAAAUGGUUCAAGGGAUUGAUAUGUCAAACAACAAUCUAUCAGGCAACAUUCCCAGAUCCCUAGGACUCUGCAAAAACUUAUUCUCACUAGACCUAUCAGGAAACAUGCUGUCUGGUCCUGCUCCAGGCGAAACUCUGACCAAAUUAAGUGAGCUACUAUUCUUGAACCUCUCAAGGAACAGAUUAGAAGGCAAACUUCCUGACAUGGAAGGAUUGCCACAUCUUCGCUCACUUGAUCUUUCACAAAACAAGUUCAAGGGAAUCAUUCCUGAGAGAUUUGCCAAUAUGCCUGCAUUAAUAUAUCUCAACCUUUCUUUUAACCAGCUUGAAGGUCACAUUCCAAAGGGGGGUGUAUUCGACAACUUAAGGUCAGCAGAUUUACAGGGAAAUCCAUCUCUAUGUGGAACAGAGUUUCUCAGUCCAUGCAGCAUCAAAAGAAACCAAACAAGUUCUCAUGGGUUUUCCAAGAAAACCUGGAUCAUACUUGGGCCUGUUUUGGUUCUCAUUCUUUAUGUGGUGGGAAUAUUUUUGUAUCAUCUGUAUAUGAAGAAGCAAAAAGUGAAAGACACGGAAGAUAUAAUUCCAAAUUAUACCUCAGCACUUAGCCUCCAGAGAUUUUAUCAAAAGGAUUUGGAACAUGCUACUGAUAAUUUCAGUCCACAAAACAUUAUUGGAGCCAGCAGUUUAAGUAAUGUGUACAAAGGAACACUGGAAAGUGGGAAGAUUGUAGCAGUUAAGAAACUGAAUCUCCAGUUCUCAGCAGAAAUUCGUAAAUGCUUUGAUAGGGAGGUCAAGACUCUGAGCCAACUCAAACACAGGAACCUGGUUAAGGUGCUCGGUUAUGCUUGGGAAAGCAAGAAGCUAAUGGCUGUAAUUUUAGAAUACAUGGAGAAUGGGAACUUGGACAGUUUUAUUUAUGGUCAAAUGGCGGAUGAAUGGACAUUGUCCAAUAGGAUAGACAUUUUAGUUUCAGUAGCAAGUGGGCUGUCAUACCUGCAUUCAGGAUAUGAUUUUCCAAUAGUGCACUGUGACUUGAAGCCUUCAAAUAUUCUUCUGGAUAAAAAUAUGGAAGCACAUGUGAGUGACUUUGGGACAGCUAGGAUGUUGGGUAUUCAUCACCAAGAUGGGAGCAGCAUAUCAUCAGCAUCUGCAUUUGAAGGAACUAUUGGUUACAUGGCACCAGGUAAUAAUUAUUACAACAUCACUUCUGUAAAUCACAAUACACAGCUUAGCAGAUUUUCUUUUCCCGUCAAUCACAAAAUAAUGAUUAAUUUGUAUGUGGAAGAAUGGACAAGCAUUUAAGUGAUCCAAUGUUUUGAACAUAUAAUCUGAAAAGUAUUUUUUAAUGAUAAUACCAACUUUAGUCUAACCAGAAAAUGCUAGUGUCAGCUUUAGAAUUUUGAAUUUCUUGAACAUUUUACAUGCUCCUUAUUUAAUUUGAGACCUAACUCAAAUGAAAUGUUUUUCUAUGAAACAGAGUUUGCAUAUAUGAGGAAAGUGACCACAAAAGUAGAUGUAUUCAGCUUUGGUGUAAUUGUGAUGGAGAUCAUUACAAAAAGAAGGCCAACAAGUCUAACAGGUGCAGAUAAAUUACCAAUGACUUUGAAUCAAGUUGUUCAGAAUGCCCUUGCGAAUGGCAUAAGCAAGCUGGUCCAGAUUGUGGAUCCUAAUUUAGCUUCACAUGUCUCCAAGAACCAGGAGAUAGUAGAGGGACUUCUUAACUUGGCUUUAUCCUGCACCUCUCCGGAUCCUGAAGAUAGACCUGACAUGGAACAAGUUCUGUCUUCUCUUUCAAAGCUAAGUAAGAUGGAGAGCAUGCAUUCACACGCUUGUUUGGUAUCAUCAUUCUUAAUAUGAACCACCACCAAGUUUCCCUCGGUGGCCAAUGGAACUAGUCCACAACUGAAAAUGUAAUUACAAUUUAAAUAGAACUUACGUUUUUCAAGCCAUAAUUAUCUUUCAGGUAUUCCUGCUUUACUAGAGGGGUAUGGUUGAACUCUCACAUUAGAUUAAGUUAAAGUUGACUUGCAUCAUGAAAUUGAAGAACUCUGUACAUUAAUUACAACUAAGGAACAAAAAGCUAGAUCUUUACGAAGUACUCCAGUGACGUGUAAUAGUCAGCGAGCAGUUGAUUGCUAGACUAAAGUGCCAAUGCAUUCUGUUACUAGAGAUUGCCUACAGGAAAUGAGUACACUUUUGAACACGAAUAUAUAGAAGUGAAAUUGAGGAGAACUCAAAAAGAGGCCUUAAUAAGACUACAAUGAUACAUCAUAUUUUACCUUAAAAUAUGCAUUUUAGAAAUUUAUUUACUAUGCAAGAACUCAUCAAUGUAAGAGGGAAACUCAAAGCUUCCAAAACCAUCAAAAAUCUCCUAAGGAAUAAGAGCAGCUUUGCCUAAAGGCAGAUGAGCUAACCUAAAUGAUUCUCUUCGCUCUCCAGUACCCUUAUCCAGAAAAUGCUCAAUCCAACCUUCUAAUCUCUCCACUUCUUCUUCACUUUUUGCCCCCUUAACCCCAACAAUCUUUCCAUAAAAUGCAUCAUCACAGCCCAAAUCCACUUCCACCCUUUUGGAUCCUUCCCUUUUACCCUCCGAUAAACACAAUAGCUGCAUCAUCAGUUUACCCUCAUCAACCCCAUUACCACUAGCUUCAACUAUACCAACACUUUCUUGGGCAAGUGAGGAAUUAGAGAGAAAUUGAAGUGGGGUUUCACUUUCUUUAAGGUUUGUGUAUCUGGUGAUGGAGUCAGCAGGGGUCUCAUCACAGUUGAGGUAUAAUGGGCUGAUCAAAGACUGGUCGGUGUCUCAACGGCUUCUCGUUGAGAUGGGUCGUCAAGUUUCAAUCUUUUCUCCAAUUGUUUGAGAGAUGAGAAGAAAUUGGAAUGUGGAGAAGGUCUUUGCAUUAUUUUUUUAGUGAAUCAGAACUUGAAUUGAGUUUUUAGUUAUGGAAGGUUGAAGAAUGGAAAGGAAAAAAGAGCGCCAACUGCUGCAAAGGACAAUUUAAUCACUUUUGUUUGAAAUUUUACGCCGAUUUGGGAUUUCUGGGUAUGUUAUUUAAGGUAUUUUCUGAAUUAAUCCAUAUUCUCAAUGUUUAAAGAGCUUUGAUAUCCAGGGUCAGAUCCAGAGGUUCUGGUACGGGUUUACGAGAACCAAAUAACUUUUGCUUAUAUUCUGUAUGUGUUAAAAAUCUGAUUGUGAAUAGAAUUAUCAUUGAUUUAAAAGGUUCUAGGAUGACCUUUCAAUACAAGUGACUUUCCUUGUGCAUGUUUAUAGCUUGGAUCAUAUAGUUGCUAAUAAGAGUAUCCGAAAAAUGGAACAGGGAGAGAACAUAGCUACUGAAGUUUUGUGGAAAGUGUAUUCAUUUGUUUGCGUGAAACCAUGCAGUACAAAUGCUGAUAAGAGUAAAAAUAUAUUCAGAAAGGAGAAAAAGGAAUGUGUAAUAUAGCCACAUAGGUAUAACAUUGAGGAUAUAGACAAAUGAUUUCUCACAUGAUCACUCAACUAAUAUGUUAGCCAUUAUCUCAUAAAGUCACCUUAUUCUUGAUUCUAAUUUGUUUUUAACAAGAGUGACUUCUGAGAUAAUAACUAUCAGUUGAGUGACACUUUGAAGGAAACCAAAUUGCAGUAGAAUUAUCUGUUGUUCAACUGGUGGAUCACAAUUUGAUAGCAUUAGCAUUUCCUGCUCAUUUGGCAAAUUAAAGUCCAAUACCAAUAACCACGACUCUGUUUCAUUUAGAUACAUUAUGCUUUGAAAAAUCUAGUCCGAAUUUAGAUUUUUCCCAAUCAGGAGUUGGCAUGUAUGGUGGUGGAUUUUUGAAACAUUUACUUGGCCAGAAUAUGUUGUAUAAAGCACUGUUAUGUUCACAUGUGUCUGUUUGCCUAGGCGUAGGACCACUUGUAUGAGUGGUUGAGAAUAUGCCUGCUACUAGAAAAAUAGAAAUUAGUAAUGGACAAAUUUCGUAGUUAAACGACAAGUGAGCAAUUUAACGAUGAAGUUCAUAACCAGUAGAAGUUUUUUUUUUUAUAGAACGAUGAAAAUGAACUAACAUAACGGUUCAUUUUUCCCCUUAUUCCUUUCUAUUUUACACAGAGAAGGGAUUCGGGCUGUAAUUACUUCAAAAUGCCUGUAAUAGUGGUGUUGUCUUUUACCCUGCUGGAAGAAAAAUAUAUAAAGAAUGUCCUAAUGGAAAAAAGUAGAAGAUACUUUAAUGUAAGCUCAACAACAAAGACAGAGAGAAAUCUUUGUAGCCACAGAACAUUGGUUGGUCCCCCAAGUAAAAAUCUUGGAAGAUUUUUGGAUUUGUGAUUGCCAAGUGUGAAUGGAGAGUAAUCUUGACAUCCAAUGAGAUCAUAGAUAUAGAUAUCACUAGAUAAGGACUCUUCCCUAUCUUACUUACUAUAUAUAGUGAAGUUUCAAUAACUUCAGCUCAUCACAACUAACUUUUACAUAUCAAACUAGCAACCCCCUCACUUUCCUCUCUUUAUAAACCAUGGCAGCUGCUACAAUGGCUCUUUCUUCCCCUUCUUUUGCUGGACAGGCAGUGAAACUCUCACCCUCUGCCUCAGAAAUCACUGGAAAUGGAAGGAUCACUAUGAGAAAGGCUGUCGCCAAGUCUGCCCCAUCUAGCAGCCCAUGGUAUGGCCCUGACCGUGUUAAGUACUUGGGCCCAUUCUCUGGUGAGUCCCCAAGCUACUUGACCGGUGAAUUCCCUGGUGACUACGGACCGUGUUAAGUACUUGGGCCCAUUCUCUGGUGAGUCCCCAAGCUACUUGACUGGCGAAUUCCCUGGUGACUAUGGAUGGGAUACCGCUGGACUUUCAGCAGACCCUGAGACCUUUGCCAAGAACCGUGAACUUGAGGUGAUCCACUGCAGAUGGGCUAUGCUUGGUGCUCUUGGAUGUGUCUUCCCUGAGCUAUUGGCCCGUAAUGGUGUCAAGUUCGGUGAGGCUGUGUGGUUCAAGGCCGGAUCCCAGAUCUUCAGCGAGGGUGGACUUGACUACUUGGGCAACCCAAGCUUGGUCCAUGCACAGAGCAUCUUGGCCAUCUGGGCUUGCCAAGUUGUCUUGAUGGGAGCCGUUGAAGGUUACCGUAUUGCUGGUGGACCUCUUGGUGAGGUUGUCGACCCACUCUACCCUGGUGGCAGCUUUGACCCAUUAGGCCUUGCUGAAGACCCAGAGGCAUUUGCUGAGCUCAAAGUAAAGGAGAUUAAGAACGGCAGACUUGCUAUGUUCUCUAUGUUUGGAUUCUUCGUUCAGGCCAUUGUUACCGGAAAGGGUCCAUUGGAGAACCUUGCUGACCACCUUGCAGACCCCGUUAACAACAACGCUUGGGCUUUCGCCACAAACUUUGUCCCCGGAAAAUGAAUAUCAUAAUAUAAUUUUUUAAUUUUGAUUGUUCGAUGGCCCUGUAAAGUAGUUGUGACUUACUUGAUAAUAGAAUGGUUCUUUUUUCCAUAUUCCAGUGAUUGUGUAGUUCUGAGUUACAUUUUCCAAAUCUACGAAUCAAAUAUUGCCACUUCCAUACCAAAGGGGAAAUUAAAGAAAGAGAACAGAGCAAAAAGACUGAAGAUACAUAUGAGAUGUGGUAACAAGAAAAACUAUAAAGCUGUUGUAAGCUUAAAACUUGAAUUUUCAGACCAGAGGAACUUAUGGAAUUCAGUUAAUUCUCGAGAAACAAUACUCAAAAUUAGUGUAAAGUACUAAUGUUGAACAACAUGAUGUUAUUACAUGAUUCCUCAUUUAUCUAUCGAAAAGUGAGAGGAAAUAAGAGGACAUUGUUUCAUUUCACUACCAGAACAUUGAGACAGGGGAAGAAAACCAAUAUGUUUUGUAGUCUGAAUGUAGUAAGUAAUAUAUGAGUUUCCAGGUCCAUACAGUAUGUCUCCUUUGAACAAAUUCAUAAAUUUCUUGUAAAAUCCUCCUGCCUCACAUGAGGUACUAUCUUUAGAUUAAAAGCAUCCUUGACAGAUCCUUCAAAACAAGGUACAUAGUAAUGACCAGAGCACAAAGGACAUACAUAUGUAGUUAGAAGAAGACACAAGUACUGCUAAAUAUGACACUUAUUGGCAACAAAUUCAAGUUCCAUGCACUAAUAACGUAAACAAUAUUUACACAAAUUACUUAGUAAGUAAUUAAAGGUAAAUCACUUGAUAACAUUAAUCGGUAGUCUGGUAAAAAAUGGGAAUUGCCUACUAUCACACGUUAAAAUUUACUGAUGUAACUUCUAUUUCCCUUAACGCAGCGCAAAAUUGUGAUGCUGAUGAAUUCCAACAAAUUAAAAUCUUUGCUCAUAUUCUUCUGAACAAGCUCUUUCCAAGGCUCAGCAUUGCUCAUGUAGUAGUUAAGUAACACGUACUAAGCCGCAUUAAAUCUCUAAACCUAACAGUAUUGUGAAUGAGCAUAAAACAAUAUAACCUGUGUGGCUAACAUAAACAACUUUGGUAAUUAAGGUCUAAUAUAAUAAAGUUUCAAUCACAUUGCUUUCCAAACAUAAAGAUGCAUUAUUAAGUUCCCAAAAUUUAUGAAUCAAGUAGUAAUAAAUUUCAACUUUUCCUCAAAUUUCCUAAACCAUAGUUCUACAUUGAAUGAAGUAUAGUGGUGGUAUGUUUUACCCUGCAGGUAGAUAAAAUCUAGAGAAAUGCCAAGUGGAUAAUGAUAGGGAUAUCAUAUUGUAAGCUCAACAAAUCACAGGGCAGAUUCCAAUCCUUGUGGCAACAUAUGAGAGGACAAUAUUGGUUGUGUCCCUUGCUGGAAAAUUGAUGGAUUGGAGAUUGCUAAAUGUGCAUAAUUGCUACAAGUAGGAUCUUGAUAGCCAAUGAGAUCAUAGAUAUAGAUUUCACUAGAUAAGGACUCUUUCCCUCUUUCUUAAUUCCUAUAUAUGGUGAAUUAAUUCCCUUGUAACUUCAUCUCAUCACAGCCUUCAACAAUAUUUCAUACCAUCAAACACUCAACACUUUUCUCUUAAUCUAAAUCAUGGCAGCUGCUACAAUGGCUCUUUCUUCCCCUUCUUUUGCUGGACAGGCAGUGAAACUUUCACCAUCUGCCUCAGAAAUUUCUGGAAAUGGAAGGAUCACUAUGAGAAAGGCUGUCGCCAAGUCUGCCCCAUCUAGCAGCCCAUGGUAUGGCCCUGACCGUGUUAAGUACUUGGGCCCAUUCUCUGGUGAGUCCCCAAGCUACUUGACUGGCGAAUUCCCUGGUGACUAUGGAUGGGAUACCGCUGGACUUUCAGCAGACCCUGAGACCUUUGCCAAGAACCGUGAACUUGAGGUGAUCCACUGCAGAUGGGCAAUGCUUGGUGCUCUUGGAUGUGUCUUCCCUGAGCUCUUGGCCCGUAACGGUGUCAAGUUCGGCGAGGCUGUGUGGUUCAAGGCCGGAUCCCAGAUCUUCAGCGAGGGUGGACUUGACUACUUGGGCAACCCAAGCUUGGUCCAUGCACAAAGCAUCUUGGCCAUUUGGGCUUGCCAAGUUGUGUUAAUGGGAGCUGUUGAGGGAUACCGUAUUGCAGGUGGACCUCUUGGUGAGGUCGUCGACCCACUCUACCCUGGCGGCAGUUUUGACCCAUUAGGUCUUGCUGAUGAUCCAGAGGCAUUUGCUGAGCUCAAAGUAAAGGAGAUUAAGAACGGCAGACUUGCUAUGUUCUCUAUGUUUGGAUUCUUCGUUCAGGCCAUUGUUACCGGAAAGGGUCCAUUGGAGAACCUUGCUGACCACCUUGCAGACCCCGUUAACAACAAUGCAUGGGCCUUUGCCACAAACUUUGUUCCCGGAAAAUGAAUAUCAUAAAACGUUCUCUAGAUAUUAUUGUUUGAUGGCUUUGUAAAGUUUUAGUUGUGAGUUUACUUGACAAUAGAAUGGAUUUUUCUUAGUCCUGAAUUUCAUUUUCCAAUGAUGAAUGAAAUACUGCAAAAUUCAUAUUGAAGGGGAAAAUUGAUGACAAAGCAAAAAUAACAAGACCAAAGUUACAUUUGAGAUGUGGUAAAAGCUUAAACCUGAAUAUACAGACCAGAGAC